UAGAGUUUGAUCAUGGCUCAGAAUCAACGCUGGCGGCGUGCCUAACACAUGCAAGUCGAACGAUUAAGACCCCUUCGGGGGUGUAUAGAGUGGCGAACGGGUGAGUAACACGUGGGCAAUCUGCCCCUCACUUCGGGAUAACUCRAAGGAAACUUGAGCUAAUACCGAAUACUUCGAACUGAUCGCAUGGUCGGUUCGGGAAAGCUCCGACGGUGAGGGAUGAGCCCGCGGCCCAUUAGCUUGUUGGUGAGGUAACGGCCCACCAAGGCGACGAUGGGUAGCCGCGCUGAGAGGCGGAUCGGCCACACUGGGACUGAGACACGGCCCAGACUCCUACGGGAGGCAGCAGUGGGGAAUUUUKSSCMAWKGGSSRAAASCCUGACGCAGCAACGCCGCGUGCGGGAUGAAGGCCCUCGGGUCGUAAACCGCUUUCAGCAGAGAUGAAAUUGACWGUACCUGCWGAAGAAGCCCCGGCUAAAUACGUGCCWGCCGCCGCGGKAAUAC
Molecule: ribosomal RNA, 504 nt
Filed under: uncultured Streptosporangium sp.
Lineage: Bacteria; Bacillati; Actinomycetota; Actinomycetes; Streptosporangiales; Streptosporangiaceae
Description: partial 16S ribosomal RNA
Rfam family: Bacterial small subunit ribosomal RNA
Source: RNAcentral